Molecule: long non-coding RNA, 203 nt
Filed under: Lathyrus oleraceus (garden pea)
Lineage: Eukaryota; Viridiplantae; Streptophyta; Magnoliopsida; Fabales; Fabaceae
Description: Pisum sativum (pea) long non-coding RNA (PSAT_LNC001076)
Source: RNAcentral
UUACUUUGUGAACACGUUUCCAUUUUAAGCUUGGAUCAUGGUGAAUUUUGAGGUGGAAGUUUGGUAAACCAAUCAUAUUUGAAAAAUUUCUAAGUACCAAGCCAUAUGUUCACUUCUUCCACAUUGAAUAACUUUUGCUAUAGGCUUCAAAUGAAAAACGUUCCUUCAUCAAAUUUGUAUCUCUUUCCAACCUCUUAAAUUUG